Molecule: long non-coding RNA, 868 nt
Filed under: Vigna radiata
Lineage: Eukaryota; Viridiplantae; Streptophyta; Magnoliopsida; Fabales; Fabaceae
Description: long non-coding RNA (VRAD_LNC007577)
Source: RNAcentral
UUUCUUUUCCCCCAGAAAUAGGUAAAAAAAGAAGGGUGAAAGUAAUCAUGGUUGGUUUCAAUGAUUGAGCAGUAAUAUAUUUACAAAACGCUUAAACAAUCGACGUAUUGUUUAAGUUUCAAUCUUUGUUUCUCACCACACAGAAACACAAACACAAACGGUUGGUGGGUGCAGUAGCUGAUUGGUGAGGAGUGAGCAUUGGGUGUUCCAUCAAAGGAAAAAGAAAAGCGAAAGAGCAUUGCAAGAGAGAAGGAAAGUCACCUCAAGAGUUCAAUAAUGAAAGGGGCAAAGCCAUUGGUUUCAUUGAUCACUAUGGAAGUGAGUGUUGUGUAAUAUUUUUUGUUUACAUGACAAGUUAUGAGCAUUUUUGUCUUUGACUUGUGAUGUGCCUCCACAAGAACACAUCACCACAACUCUACAUUAGGCUUUCUGGCUCAACUUCCGACCAAAAAGCCAAUUUCAUUUUGCCCCUACGGAUAAGGUUUUGCUAUUGCAUCACUGAUUUAUUAUGCUCAAUCAAUCAAUAAUGAAUUUAUUACCUUUGCAUGAAUGAAUGCAUUGCCCAAUUUAGCGUUGAUUGAAUCUCUGUCUGCAUUCUAUAUGGUAUCAUUACCCUAAUAUAUGUACACACAAACUUCAAGGAUGCGAUGGGAAACAUGCACAUAAAUUAUUGAAAACCAACCCAUGCUGCUAUUGCUAGCUACAUAAGAACUUUGGAUUCAGCGUAUCACAGCCACGUGAAACUUUCAUAUAUCAGUCUAUUCAUUCUAUUAAUGCAACAAAGGUUUCACUACAGCAAACCCCAUGAAGUAAAACUUGAGUGUGUUAAGAAAAGGAAAUACAGGAACACAGAUAUUAGGGUUUUAAA